This 492-nucleotide ribosomal RNA is filed under the name uncultured bacterium. RNAcentral describes it as "partial 16S ribosomal RNA". It matches the Rfam family "Bacterial small subunit ribosomal RNA", at positions 29 to 507 of the family's 1533-position model. The record is from RNAcentral.
AGUGAACGCUGGCGGUAGGCCUAACACAUGCAAGUCGAACGGCAGCACAGUAAGAGCUUGCUCUUACGGGUGGCGAGUGGCGGACGGGUGAGGAAUACAUCGGAAUCUACUUUUUCGUGGGGGAUAACGUAGGGAAACUUACGCUAAUACCGCAUACGACCUACGGGUGAAAGCAGGGGAUCUUCGGACCUUGCGCGAUUGAAUGAGCCGAUGUCGGAUUAGCUAGUUGGCGGGGUAAAGGCCCACCCAGGCGACGAUCCGUAGCUGGUCUGGGAGGAUGGUCAGCCACACUGGAACUGAGACACGCUCCAGACUCCUACGGGAGGCAGCAGUGGGGAAUAUUGGACAAUGGGCGCAAGCCUGAUCCAGCCAUACCGCGUGGGUGAAGAAGGCCUUCGGGUUGUAAAGCCCUUUUGUUGGGAAAGAAAAGCAGCAGGUUAAUACCCCGCUGUUCUGACGGUACCCAAAGAAUAAGCACCGGCUAACUUCGUG